CUGUCCCUUCAGCAAGUGUGUUAUAACUCAUUUGGGUUGGGAAGCCAUGAAGGUUCCUCAUCUCUGCCUUCUGCAAUUUUGCAUAUUUUAAGGGUUAUAUUUGUCUGCUUUUAGACAGGGUCACUCUCUACCUCAGGCUGGCCUGGAACUCACUAUAUAGCCACGGAUCAUGUGUCACCAAGGUGACUGUCAAGCCUUGAUGUACAUCUUCACAAAUGGUCAGGCUGUCCAUGAUGAGGAACCUGCUGGUGUCUUGUUCUUCCCAUCCUUGAAGCUGCCCCCAACCUGAAAAAGAUUUCAAACCUAGAUGCCACUCCACCCCAUUUAAGACCAGAGACUACGUGGUCCUCCUGUGAAGCAAUCUGGAAGAUCUCAGGGCUCAGUAAAUGGAAACAGGAAACAUCCAAAUACGUCUCCAAGUCCACUCACAAGCAUUCUAACCAUCUUACUGCAGCCCCAGAGAUCUCACUACCUCCACAGAGUAAGUCAGGACUGGGAUAAUAAAUCAUGGUUAGAAAAACAUGCCUGGUGAGAUGGGUAUUAAAUAAAAUAUAGCUCAUUUAAGUUGCUUUAAUCUCUCCCAUUAGAGAGUGGGUAAUAACUGAAAAGAUUUUAGCACAUAAAUUGCCCUCAUCUGUAACAUGAGGCAU
RNAcentral lists this long non-coding RNA (650 nucleotides) under Cricetulus griseus (Chinese hamster). RNAcentral describes it as "lncRNA (ENSCGRG00000024405.1)". Lineage: Eukaryota; Metazoa; Chordata; Mammalia; Rodentia; Cricetidae. The record is from RNAcentral.